UAGAGAUUGUAGCGGCAUCCUUUUUAAAGAAAGCAGCGCGACUAUUUAUAGUUUAGAAACUUCCUGUUUUAAGGUUGCCGCAUCGCCAGCUUCUCGCAAUGACACUUUAAAAAGAUAUAGCGGAAAGCCCGACCACUC
This 138-nucleotide small RNA is filed under the name Hyunsoonleella jejuensis. RNAcentral's name for it is "Flavo-1 RNA". It matches the Rfam family "Flavo-1 RNA", at positions 9 to 76 of the family's 76-position model. The record is from RNAcentral. Lineage: Bacteria; Pseudomonadati; Bacteroidota; Flavobacteriia; Flavobacteriales; Flavobacteriaceae.